This 240-nucleotide unclassified non-coding RNA is filed under the name soil metagenome. RNAcentral's name for it is "partial contains 5.8S ribosomal RNA, internal transcribed spacer 2, and large subunit ribosomal RNA". The record is from RNAcentral.
AACAUCGCGCACCUGCGGGAACCUGCGGGGGAUCAUUACAGAGUUGCAAAACUCCCUAAACCAUUGUGAACGUUACCUAAACCGUUGCUUCGGCGGGCGGCCCGGGUCCUUCCCGGCGCCCAUCGGCCCUCGCGGGCGCCCGCCGGAGGUAAACCAAACUAUUGCAUUGUAUGGCCUCUCUGAGUCUUCUGUACUGAAUAAGUCAAAACUUUCAACAACGGAUCUCAGAUCGGAAGAGCA